AUGACGCUCAUGGGCCGCCAGCGCGCGACACCGAGAAGGAAACGGCCGCGACAACCGGGGGGGACCUGGGGGGAGAUGAUGGAGGGGAGGGGGUCACAGAUGGUAAUGGGGGAUCUAUGGGGUCAAGAGGACAUAUUGGACGGCACUUAUGGGGUCACCGGUGGCCAUAUGGGGCUGUUUGGGGUCACCAGUGUCAUUGGUGCCCAAUAUUGGGGUUUUGUGGGGUUACCAAGGGCUGGAUGUCAUUUAUGGGGUCACUGGUGCCAUAUGGGGCUGGUGGAGUUACUGGUCCUGGAUGGUCACUUAUGGGGCACUGGUGCCCAAUAUGGGCUGUUGGGGUCACCAAUUGCAUGGUGCAUAGUGGGUUUGUGGGGUACCAGGGCUGGAGUCACUUAUGGGGUCAUCUGGUGGGCCAUACAUGGGGUUGUGGGGUUUACCAGUGCUCAUAUCGGAUGUCACUUAUGGGGUCACUGGUGCCAUAUGGGGUUGUGGGGUUACCAGUGCUGGAUGUCACUUAUGGGGUCACUGGUGCCAUAUGGGGUUGUGGGGUUACCAGUGCCAAAUACGGAUGUCACUUACUGGGGUCACUGGUGCCAUAUAACGGGGUUGUGGGGUACCAGGGCUGGAUGUCACUUAUGGGGUCACUGGGGUCAUUGGUGGCUCAUAUGGGGCUGGUGGAGUUACCGGGCUGGAUGUCAGCUUAUGGGGUCCACUGUGCCAGUAUUGGGACCCUCCACAUU
This 740-nucleotide long non-coding RNA is filed under the name Coturnix japonica (Japanese quail). Its description in RNAcentral is "lncRNA (ENSCJPG00005002453.1)". The record is from RNAcentral. Lineage: Eukaryota; Metazoa; Chordata; Aves; Galliformes; Phasianidae.